This 442-nucleotide unclassified non-coding RNA is filed under the name Bactrocera tryoni. RNAcentral's name for it is "transcription factor 21, transcript variant X2". The record is from RNAcentral. Lineage: Eukaryota; Metazoa; Arthropoda; Insecta; Diptera; Tephritidae.
AGGGCGGGAGUUGAGUGCAAAGAAAUUCGUGUGUUCUACAAAAAGGAACUGGAAUUGUUUAGGAAUUUCUUGAUUAUAAUCCGCUGUUGGCUGAGUUCAAUUUGCCUUUGUUUGGCGUUGAAUUAUCCAAUGCAAAAUCAUAAUUGCUUACUCGAUUUUGGUUUUGAGUUUAGCCCUUUUAUCCUCAGCAAGGGAUUAGCAAUUAGUAAGUCCAUGGGAAUUGCAGUUAAGCUAAUUUGCCAUGUAAUAAUACGCCAUUAUUUGCAAUUAUUACGAAAACAUGCGACUUUUGUUUGGGUUCCGGAAAUUUGCACCAACAGGUGUAGUAUUCUUCUGAAUGCAGACUUUGUAGACAUUCUGUCUAGGAUUUUGCACAUUUGCACAAUUUUAUUUUGAUGCUGUGUGGUGUAUAUACAUAUACAUAUGUAUACCAAGAAAUUUC